GGUGAUCGGCGUAACGUAAUUGUAAUUUAAUAGGAGUCGUGAUUGUGAUUUAACAAGAGUCAGAUGAUUGAAUAGUUGGUUAUGAGUUAUGACUCAAUUUCUAUACAAAGAUAGAAAACCUAAAAUCAUAGCAUUUAAAACUAAGUAAACUUAUUGAUUGUUUUAAUAUCGUUGUCUUUUGGUUUGCUGUUUGUUUUAUAUAUUUGUUCUAGUUUGUUUAACAUGCCCCGCUUGCGUUUGUUUAAGGACAUAUAAUGUAUUGAGGUAAAAAGGAUAUUGAAAACAAAUUUACGACUCAUGAUUUGUAUAAAAAUAACCUGGUAUGUGACAAAAAUUAUAUUUAUUGAUCGGACAAAUAUUUUCAGAUUACUGUUAAUGUAUCACCAAUUUAUAUUUAGAGUUUUUUAAGAAUAACAUUCAAUUUAUUUGAGUCAGGACGGUUUACCAAUAACUUUUUUAUUAGUAUUAAUUUAGAAAUUAUGUAUAAUACACACAUUUUAUUUGA
Molecule: long non-coding RNA, 505 nt
Filed under: Helianthus annuus (common sunflower)
Lineage: Eukaryota; Viridiplantae; Streptophyta; Magnoliopsida; Asterales; Asteraceae
Source: RNAcentral